RNAcentral lists this ribosomal RNA (1406 nucleotides) under uncultured bacterium. RNAcentral's name for it is "16S ribosomal RNA". It matches the Rfam family "Bacterial small subunit ribosomal RNA". The record is from RNAcentral.
AGAGUUUGAUCCUGGCUCAGGAUGAACGCUAGCGACAGGCUUAACACAUGCAAGUCGAGGGGCAGCGGGGUAGGAAGCUUGCUUUCUGCCGCCGGCGACCGGCGCACGGGUGAGUAACACGUAUGCAACCUGGCCGUGACAGAUGGAUAACCGGGAGAAAUCCCGCCUAAUACAACAUAAUGCCGGGAGGGGACAUCCCCUGCCGGCCAAAGGGGGCGACCCCGGUCACGGAUGGGCAUGCGGCGCAUUAGGUAGUUGGUGGGGCAACGGCCCACCAAGCCGACGAUGCGUAGGGGUUCUGAGAGGAAGGUCCCCCACAUUGGAACUGAGACACGGUCCAAACUCCUACGGGAGGCAGCAGUGGGGAAUAUUGGUCAAUGGCCGGAAGGCUGAACCAGCCAAGUCGCGUGAGGGAAUAAGGCCCUACGGGUCGUAAACCUCUUUUGCCAGGGAGCAAUGCCGUCCACGUGUGGACGGAAGGAGAGUACCUGGAGAAAAAGCAUCGGCUAACUCCGUGCCAGCAGCCGCGGUAAUACGGAGGAUGCGAGCGUUAUCCGGAUUUAUUGGGUUUAAAGGGUGCGUAGGCGGCCUGCCAAGUCAGCGGUAAAAUUGCGGGGCUCAACCCCGUACAGCCGUUGAAACUGCCGGGCUCGAGUGGGCGAGAAGUAUGCGGAAUGCGUGGUGUAGCGGUGAAAUGCAUAGAUAUCACGCAGAACCCCGAUUGCGAAGGCAGCAUACCGGCGCCCGACUGACGCUGAGGCACGAAAGUGCGGGGAUCAAACAGGAUUAGAUACCCUGGUAGUCCGCACAGUAAACGAUGAAUGCUAGCUGUCCGGGGGGAUUGACCCCUGGGUGGCACAGCGAAAGCGUUAAGCAUUCCACCUGGGGAGUACGCCGGCAACGGUGAAACUCAAAGGAAUUGACGGGGGCCCGCACAAGCGGAGGAACAUGUGGUUUAAUUCGAUGAUACGCGAGGAACCUUACCCGGGCUCAAACGGGAGAUGACGCGGGCAGAGACGCCCGUUUCUUAGGACAUCUUCCGAGGUGCUGCAUGGUUGUCGUCAGCUCGUGCCGUGAGGUGUCGGCUUAAGUGCCAUAACGAGCGCAACCCCUGCCGACAGUUGCUAACGCGUUGAGGCGAGGACUCUGUCGGGACUGCCGGCGCAAGCCGCGAGGAAGGCGGGGAUGACGUCAAAUCAGCACGGCCCUUACGUCCGGGGCGACACACGUGUUACAAUGGGGGGUACAGCGGGAAGCCAGGCGGCGACGCCGAGCGGAACCCGAAAGCCUCUCUCAGUUCGGAUCGGAGUCUGCAACCCGACUCCGUGAAGCUGGAUUCGCUAGUAAUCGCGCAUCAGCCAUGGCGCGGUGAAUACGUUCCCGGGCCUUGUACACACCGCCCGUCA